CUACAUACCUGUCAGGGGAGAUACCAUGAUCAUGAAGGUGCUUUUCCCAGGGCGGGGCUUAUCCAUUGCACUCCAGAUGUGCAGACCCCUGCGAUUUCCCCAGUGUGAGAAACUUGACUGCAUAAUUUGUGGUAGUAGGGGACUGCGUUCGUGCUCUCCCCCA
RNAcentral lists this small nuclear RNA (163 nucleotides) under Aotus nancymaae (Ma's night monkey). RNAcentral's name for it is "U1 spliceosomal RNA (ENSANAG00000002977.1)". It matches the Rfam family "U1 spliceosomal RNA". Rfam says of the family: U1 is a small nuclear RNA (snRNA) component of the spliceosome (involved in pre-mRNA splicing). The record is from Rfam by way of RNAcentral. Lineage: Eukaryota; Metazoa; Chordata; Mammalia; Primates; Aotidae.